This 17-nucleotide unclassified non-coding RNA is filed under the name Mus musculus (house mouse). RNAcentral describes it as "oocyte_clustered_small_RNA5401". Lineage: Eukaryota; Metazoa; Chordata; Mammalia; Rodentia; Muridae. The record is from RNAcentral.
CGGCCCUAAGAUACUGC